This 887-nucleotide long non-coding RNA is filed under the name Musa acuminata (dwarf banana). RNAcentral describes it as "long non-coding RNA (MACU_LNC003974)". Lineage: Eukaryota; Viridiplantae; Streptophyta; Magnoliopsida; Zingiberales; Musaceae. The record is from RNAcentral.
CUUUGUCAAGCUUGCACCUUAUAUUUAUCCUAGAAAUCAAGGUAUUCAUAAGAAACAACCUUUGCUUGCAGGGAUAAAACUAAAUACAUAGAUCCUCCCUGCAUUGGCAGGAGACGUGUGCAUCAAUCAAACAGUCGAAAAAAGUUACGAAUCCUGUGAACGUCGACGGAGUCAAUUGUGAUAACUGCACAUCUCAAUUUCAAAUAAAGAUAUAAAACGAUAGGAAAGGGUCAAACCUGCUCACAAACUCUAACAUCCCAACUUAUUUAGAAAACCUAAGAUGACCGACUGACACCGGCUCACGUGCGAUAAAAGAAGGCACCGAGUGUUUUAUUAGCAACUUCUCCAUUUCUAAUCAAAAUAUCUCACGCAAAUCAAACAAUAACAAGAAAGCAUGCCCAUCAAACACAGAAAGAACAAACAACCUAAGCAAUUGCCCGUCACCACAACACAACACAACAAUCGGAAAAAGUUUGGAAAGGACGUACGGUCUCGGGUGACAUGGCGGAAGUUCUUGUAGUCCCCGCCCUGCGACGACAAAUCGGAGUCGGAGAACGACAUCGCCGCUAAGAUGAUAUCGGGAAGCGUCCAGCUCCGAUUCGGUUGGGGGGCUGCAGGGGGUUCCGCGAUCCCAAGGGGGUGGGUUGACCGCCGAGCCUAAGCCGCGGUACCGCUGCUUGGACAAAGGACGAGGGCGACGAUCGAAUCGUGGCGUGCGUUGGGAGGGGGAGGAGGAAGAAGGACGCACCGCGGGUUAGACCGAAGAGGAGGGCGAACAACGAAGCUUCGCGUGCGUAGGGAGGGGGAGGAGGAAGGAGGACGCACCGCAGGUUAGACCGAAGAGGAAGGCGAACAACGAAGCUUCGCGUGCGUCGGGAGGGAAAGGG